AUUGAACGCUGGCGGCAGGCCUAACACAUGCAAGUCGAACGGUAGCACAGAGAGCUUGCUCUCGGGUGACGAGUGGCGGACGGGUGAGUAACGUCUGGGAAACUGCCCGAUGGAGGGGGAUAACUACUGGAAACGGUAGCUAAUACCGCAUAACGUCGCAAGACCAAAGUGGGGGACCUUCGGGCCUCACACCAUCGGAUGUGCCCAGAUGGAAUUAGCUAGUAGGUGGGGUAAUGGCUCACCUAGGCGACGAUCCCUAGCUGGUCUGAGAGGAUGACCAGCCACACUGGAACUGAGACACGGUCCAGACUCCUACGGGAGGCAGCAGUGGGGAAUAUUGCACAAUGGGCGCAAGCCUGAUGCAGCCAUGCCGCGUGUAUGAAGAAGGCCUUCGGGUUGUAAAGUACUUUCAGCGGGGAGGAGGCGGUGAAGUUAAUAGCUUAACCGAUUGACGUUACCCGCAGAAGAAGCACCGGCUAACUCCGUGCCAGCAGCCGCCGUAA
This 503-nucleotide ribosomal RNA is filed under the name uncultured bacterium. RNAcentral's name for it is "partial 16S ribosomal RNA". It matches the Rfam family "Bacterial small subunit ribosomal RNA", at positions 30 to 523 of the family's 1533-position model. The record is from RNAcentral.